RNAcentral lists this unclassified non-coding RNA (378 nucleotides) under Hevea brasiliensis (rubber tree). Lineage: Eukaryota; Viridiplantae; Streptophyta; Magnoliopsida; Malpighiales; Euphorbiaceae. The record is from RNAcentral.
GAACAAGCAAAGCAUGACGUUGUUGCCAAUCAGAUAGAUCUCUCCGUACAUUCUCGGGAGUAUCUCCAUCGUCCUCAUUUGGGAGAGAGAAGUUUCGAAAGGUGUCAAUGGAGAAGGAUUUGAUAAAAUCGACUAAUUGAUCACUGACGCCGUAGAGUAGUUCGUCGUCCGGUUGAGCAGUGACAGUUGUGGUAGUGGUCUUUGUAGUUCUAGAAAGGCUUCGUCGGAACCAUGAAUACACAUCCAUCUAGGCUAACCCUAAUCAAUCUACCACUCGCUCGAUCACUCAUGAUGAAUACUAAUCAACUUCAUUUCCCCGCUCAAAGUUCUCUUCUCUGUAUCUGAAUUUUCAACCGAGUCCCAAACCUCAGAAUUGGC